UCACUUGCAGCAGUAAAGUUGGUCUUACCUGUGGUCUUGGGCUNUAAGUCGCUCCUUGGGGCUUGGUUUCAGGUCUCAGUGAGGGCAGCAAUGAGAAGGGCCUGUCCCUACUUCUGGGUCCCUGUGGGCAGGGGACCCUGAUGGCCCUAGGUAUUUUCCUUUAGAGUCAGAAAUGUGGGCAGAGAGUAGUCUCCUCUGGUUUCCCAGGCAUGUCUCAUUAAAUUUAAUUCUAAUAAUAUUGGCCCAGUUUGAAAGACAGUUAAUAAUGGUGAUAGGGUUGCAUUCAAGGAUGUUCAAGCAAUCUGUAUAUAGUUGUUAUUAUCUACCUUCAAAGGUUGCCCUUGUUUCUUGAGACCAACAGAUCUAAGAAUGAUACAUUUUAGUGGUACAUCUCACUAUAGAAACUCCAUCUUUCAGACUGUUGAGCAUUCAUGGGAGGAAAAAGGAACUAAUGUGGAAAAUCACGUUCUGCCCACAAGUUAGUGAAGAUAAUCAUGGACUUAUCCUACACCGUAGUAAGCUGAAUACUUUGAAGACACUGCUGACUGACUUUGUCCUGUCUGAUAGUCAAGAUCUCUAUAGAUAGGCUGAGUGUAAGAUCUCAUUCUGCCUACUGGUUAUUUAAGAUCACUGACAAUUGGGCUGAGUGCAAACAGAGCUCCAUAGAACACUCCUAGGUUUGCAUAGGUCAGAGGUACUCCUUGGCAGUAUGUCCUUUCUCUCUCAACUUCUGUGCGUGUGGAAACAAAGGACCACUGAAGAAUAGGCAGUGCUAGAUGGAACAAGAAAUUCGCAUUUAUAACUGCAAAGGAAACCCACCACCUUGUCAGUUGACACAGACAGAAUGAUAAGCCAACAAUCUAGGUCACAAAAUAAGAUGUUGACUACAGAAUUCAAAGAGGUAUUCUCUGGCUACUUGUUACUAUUAAAAGGACCAAGUCUAUGGAAUCAUCAUAGAACAACUUCAUAUAUUUAAGUCACUACCACAACACACCUGCACAUUCCUAUGGAAUUUUGGGAUCAUUCCUAUCCUCCUGGAAUACCAGCUCCUUUCUCCAGUUUGGAACCUUUGUAAGGGGGAAACUGCCAUUGUUCAUCUAGAGAUAUGAAACUGCAUAGAGAUAUCUAGAGCAGCAGCACAUUUACAGGAGAUGUUGCACAUGUUGGGGUAAACUCUCUGACCUGGGUUUCCUGAACAUUCCUUGGUCAAAGAAGCUUCAUUUUGGGAUGGAGAGAUGGCUCAGCGGUUAAGAGCACCCGACUACUCUUC
RNAcentral lists this small RNA (1270 nucleotides) under Rattus norvegicus (Norway rat). RNAcentral describes it as "uncharacterized LOC102554929". The record is from RNAcentral. Lineage: Eukaryota; Metazoa; Chordata; Mammalia; Rodentia; Muridae.